CUGGCUAACAUGCUAAAAUGCUUAUGGUGGAUCCUUCUGCAGUAACUUCUGCUUCGCUGAGGAACUUUUACCUUCAGUGAGGUGUGUGAGGACUUUCUACUGUUUUUGACAAUAAUCCUUGAUGUCACUGCAGAGCCUCAUUCAGCUCAACGUUUUUGAAAACUUUAAAGCGCAGUGGGACAGAGAGGCUAGCUGGACAGCAUAGCCUGUGGUGGAGUGGUUUUAGUGGGACAGAGAGGCUGAGUGGACUGGACAUAUUCCGCUUUGAAAAUAAACGAGCAGAGAAGUUGAACCUAGAGCACAUUGAUGACUUUUCGGUGCACAAGACUCACAGAGUGACAUUCAGACAGGUAUUUCCCUUGCUGAUGUUGUCCAUUGAGAGCCAGUGAUUGUCUGUGGGUGAGAGCAGAGGAGAAGAGUGGAGCCGAUUACUGCAAUGCAGAGCAACCAAAUAACAUCACGGCGCUGCAGCAGACGCAGAUGUGUGUCUGCAUGUGUGCUUGAAUAAAUGACACAGCGGUGGAGGAAGAGCGAGAGGCAAUCUAAGCCACAGAGGCCCACAGGCGUUUGAAGUCUAAAGACGCUUUCAUCCUCGACUCUUGGAAAUGAAUGAUUUUUUUUCACACAGUGACAGGACAGCUCUGACAGGACCCAAACACAUGAACCAUAGCAAAGCUGUCAGAUAGUCAAACACACAUACACAUACACGGAACGAGUCCAGAACAGAAAGUGUUGCAGAAAUCAGGCGUUCACGGGCAGAGGAUGUGAGAAUGAAGCGUUAAAAAGUGAGGAAAAGAGAGAGAAUAGGACGGAGAGAAUGAUGCUAUAAUUAGUCGUUUGUUGCUUUAACUGGCAUUUAGUUUUAACUGGGCUUCUUUGUCUGUAGACACAAUGGGGCUGAUGUGGCAUGAGUGAACUACACAGUUUAGAGGAUUAAGGCUGGACUGAGGCUGUGGUGCCGCACUCCCUCUCUCCGUCACGCACACACAAACAGACUCUCAACUAGCUCCGCAAACACCCUGCUUCACACACUUUCUUAAACACACACCUACAAAGAAAGGCACACCCUACACACACACACACACACACACACACACACACACACACACACACACACACGCACACAUACACACCAACGCGCCCACAGGGGGAUUAUCUGUGCAACAGAGUUCUGAACACUGAGAGUGAGGAGGCGUCUGAAGAACUGCACUCAUCACCGAAGGAUGGAAAGAGCCCAGCAGAAAGAAACAAAAAAAACACACUCUCUUUCUCUCUCUCUCACACAUACACACAGACACACUUCAGUGCGAGCUACCUGUGUGUUGAGCAGCAUAUAGAACAGCAUAUCUCUGUGUGUGUCCUGUGAGGCUUCGCUGAAAGCCAGAGCACAAAGAGAAAAAGAAAGGGAAGGGAAAGUAGAGGAGAGAGGAAAGAACAAAAUGGAAAGGUGAGAAGGAGAAGAAAAAGGGAAGCAAAAAAAGAAGAGAGCAAAUCAAACGGAGAGAUGAAAGUAGAAGAAAGGAAGGAAGAUGGAGAAAAUCAUUAAGAAAGAAACAGGGCUGGCAAAAGAUUGAGCAAUUCCCAACCUUGGCCCCGGGGCCACCAGCCUUAAAUGGCCUUAUUUCACAAAUAAAUUGUAUUGAUUUUAUACCAUUAAUGUGGUAGAUUUCACACUAUUAACUUCUAUUUCCAUCCUUUAGUGUGUUAGGAACCCUGCAGGCUCAACUCUCAUCUGAUCUCUAACACGCUGCGUGGACAAGCUCACAGGCUUAGCAUACCUCGAGCUGUUUCUUUCA
This is a long non-coding RNA of Perca fluviatilis (European perch), 1796 nucleotides long. RefSeq lists it as uncharacterized. The transcript is spliced from 3 exons. Lineage: Eukaryota; Metazoa; Chordata; Actinopteri; Perciformes; Percidae. The record is from RefSeq and is a predicted model, not a curated record.